This is a long non-coding RNA of Pipistrellus kuhlii (Kuhl's pipistrelle), 352 nucleotides long. RefSeq lists it as uncharacterized. NCBI's taxonomy places the organism in Eukaryota, Metazoa, Chordata, Mammalia, Chiroptera, Vespertilionidae. The transcript is spliced from 2 exons. The record is from RefSeq and is a predicted model, not a curated record.
UCAAAUUCUGGGAAUUUCCAAAGCCGCUGGCAGGCAGCGCUGCGUCAGAUUUUCCCGGACGCCAGCCUGCAGUGCCCGCCGCGGCCGCUGGGUGGCGCGGCGCGGGGCGCGGAGCGUGGGAAACACGGGCGCGGACAGGCUGAGCUCACACGCCCGCCCGGGCAGCGGCGUCCGCCCGCAGCGGCUGCGCAGCGCGCACCUCCCGCGGGGCGCUCGGCAGGACGGCCGGCCGGGCGGGUGGCGCAGCCCCCGUGGGGGAAAGCCGCUGCGGGAGAGGACCGGAGGAGGACAGACCGAGGGGACAGAGGGACGCCGGCCCAGCCAAUCCUGAGCUGCUGCAGCCCUCCCCCCC